RNAcentral lists this transfer-messenger RNA (394 nucleotides) under Hyphomicrobium sp. It matches the Rfam family "Alphaproteobacteria transfer-messenger RNA". From Rfam's summary of the family: Bacterial tmRNA, also known as 10Sa RNA or SsrA, is named for its dual tRNA and mRNA-like properties. Lineage: Bacteria; Pseudomonadati; Pseudomonadota; Alphaproteobacteria; Hyphomicrobiales; Hyphomicrobiaceae. The record is from RNAcentral.
ACGCUUUUUUUUGAGCACAAUGCCCCCUAUAUUGGGUGUGCCGGAUUCGUCCGGCUAUGGCGAUAAACGCGGUCGUAAUAAGCGGUUCGGACCCGGGGGCGGUACCCGGCGCCUCCACCACUUUCUUUUGCGCGCUUGGCGGCCGGCUCCCCGAAGGGGAGUCGCCAAGCGCAACAGGAAUGGGGGCGAACUAGGAUCGACGAACGUGUAAAGGACUUAGCUUUUGCCCGGCAUGAUACCACCGUCAUCGGGUCAUACAGAGUAGUUGCAAAUGACAACUAUGCUGAGGUUGCUCUCGCUGCUUAAUGCGGUGCGAGUUGCCUGAACCUAAGUCCUUGCCCCUAGCCGGGUAAGGCGCGGUCCGGAGGGCACCGGUCAACAGAAGCCCUCCACU